GCUCAGUAACACGUAGUCAACAUGCCCAGGGGACGUGGAUAACCUCGGGAAACUGAGGAUAAACCGCGAUAGGUCAUCACUUCUGGAAUGGGUAAUGACUUAAAUCUAUAUGGCCCCUGGAUUGGACUGCGGCCGAUCAGGCUGUUGGUGAGGUAAUGGCCCACCAAACCUGUAACCGGUACGGGCUCUGAGAGGAGGAGCCCGGAGAUGGGCACUGAGACAAGGGCCCAGGCCCUAUGGGGCGCAGCAGGCGCGAAACCUCUGCAAUAGGCGAAAGCUUGACAGGGUUACUCUGAGUGAUUUCCGUUAAGGAGAUCUUUUGGCACCUCUAAAAAUGGUGCAGAAUAAGGGGUGGGCAAGUCUGGUGUCAGCCGCCGCGGUAAUACCAGCACCCCGAGUGGUCGGGACGUUUAUUGGGCCUAAAGCAUCCGUAGCCGGUUCUACAAGUCUUCCGUUAAAUCCACCUGCUUAACAGAUGGGCUGCGGAAGAUACUAUAGAGCUAGGAGGCGGGAGAGGCAAGCGGUACUCGAUGGGUAGGGGUAAAAUCCGUUGAUCCAUUGAAGACCACCAGUGGCGAAGGCGGCUUGCCAGAACGCGCUCGACGGUGAGGGAUGAAAGCUGGGGGAGCAAACCGGAUUAGAUACCCGGGUAGUCCCAGCUGUAAACGAUGCAGACUCGGUGAUGAGUUGGCUUAUUGCUAACUCAGUGCCGCAGGGAAGCCGUUAAGUUUGCCGCCUGGGGAGUACGGUCGCAAGACUGAAACUUAAAGGAAUUGGCGGGGAAGCACCA
RNAcentral lists this ribosomal RNA (790 nucleotides) under uncultured archaeon. Its description in RNAcentral is "bacterial SSU rRNA". It matches the Rfam family "Archaeal small subunit ribosomal RNA", at positions 88 to 881 of the family's 1478-position model. The record is from RNAcentral.